UUUUGUUAGUUGUUUUUAUUUUAUUUUAUUUUUGAGACUUAUAUGUUUCGUUUUUCAUUUAUUAUUUUGUUGGUUGUUUUUUCUAGUUGGUUAUCUCUUUAUCUUAUCUAUUUUUUUAUUAGUUUUCUCGGAAACAUGUACUUCAUUUAGAUUCGCCUACAAUUUCAGUUUUCACUAUUCUAGCGAAUUCAUCCAUAUUCAGGCCAGUUUAUGUUCUCUCCCUCCCUUUUGAUAUUGUACUUAUUCUAUUUAUAUUUGUUUGUACAUUGAGG
Molecule: long non-coding RNA, 272 nt
Filed under: Gossypium raimondii (Peruvian cotton)
Lineage: Eukaryota; Viridiplantae; Streptophyta; Magnoliopsida; Malvales; Malvaceae
Description: long non-coding RNA (GRAI_LNC008400)
Source: RNAcentral